Molecule: ribosomal RNA, 460 nt
Filed under: uncultured bacterium
Lineage: Bacteria
Description: partial 16S ribosomal RNA
Rfam family: Bacterial small subunit ribosomal RNA
Source: RNAcentral
CCUACGGGAGGCAGCAGUGAGGAAUAUUGGUCAAUGGCCGCGAGCCUGAACCAGCCAAGUAGCGUGAAGGAUGACUGCCCUACGGGUUGUAAACUUCUUUUGUCAAGGAAUAAAGUGAGGCACGUGUGCCUUUUUGUGUGUACUUGAUGAAUAAGGAUCGGCUAACUCCGUGCCAGCAGCCGCGGUAAUACGGAGGAUCCGAGCGUUAUCCGGAUUUAUUGGGUUUAAAGGGGGCGUAGGCGGGUUGUUAAGUCAGGCGUGAAAGUUUGGGGCUCAACCCUAGAAUUGCCAUUGAUACUGGCAGCCUUGAGUACACUAGAGGUAUGCGGAAUGCGUGGUGUAGCGGUGAAAUGCUUAGAUAUCACGAAGAACUCCGAUUGCGAAGGCAGCUUACUAAACUGCCACUGACAUUGAUGCUCGAAAGUGUGGGUAUCAAACAGGAUUAGAUACCCGAGUAGUC